Molecule: ribosomal RNA, 489 nt
Filed under: uncultured bacterium
Lineage: Bacteria
Description: bacterial SSU rRNA
Rfam family: Bacterial small subunit ribosomal RNA
Source: RNAcentral
GAUCAGUGGCUACAGGACGAACGCUGGCGGCGUGCUUAACACAUGCAAGUCGAGCGGAAAGGCUCCUUCGGGGGUACUCGAGCGGCGAACGGGUGAGUAACACGUGAGUAAUCUGCCCUUGGCUUCGGGAUAACUACCGGAAACGGUGGCUAAUACCGGAUAUGACCACUCCUUGCAUGAGGUGGUGGUGGAAAGUUUUUUCGGCCAGGGAUGUGCUCGCGGCCUAUCAGCUUGUUGGUGGGGUAAUGGCCUACCAAGGCUUCGACGGGUAGCCGGCCUGAGAGGGUGACCGGCCACACUGGGACUGAGACACGGCCCAGACUCCUACGGGAGGCAGCAGUGGGGAAUAUUGGACAAUGGGCGGAAGCCUGAUCCAGCAACGCCGCGUGAGGGAUGACGGCCUUCGGGUUGUAAACCUCUUUCAGUACCGACGAAGCGCCGAUGAUGGUGGUGACGGUAGGUACAGAAGAAGCACCGGCCAACUACGUG